RNAcentral lists this long non-coding RNA (1597 nucleotides) under Papio anubis (olive baboon). Its description in RNAcentral is "lncRNA (ENSPANG00000043936.1)". The record is from RNAcentral. Lineage: Eukaryota; Metazoa; Chordata; Mammalia; Primates; Cercopithecidae.
UUUUGUCUGCAUUUUUCCGUAAGAGUAAGUCCAGGUUUACAGGGGUUGAAUAGCCCAAAAUCACACAUUAGAAUUGGUGUUUGAUCCCAUAAUGUUUACUGUAUUUGUCUCUCAAUGAGUAUAGGAAACUUUUAAAAAGCAAAAAAGGUCUUUUUUUUUUUUUAUUUUCUAAGCAUAGACAAUCAUGAAAUUUGACUAGCAGACAGACUCUAAGGCGACUCCGACCUCAUAGUAAAAUACCUGCCUGCUGAUAUUCACACUCCUGCAUAAUCCCUCCCCUUGAGUGUAGGUGGCACCUGUGUGACUUGUGCCUAAUAGUAUAUGAAAAAGUGAUAAGAUGCCACUCCUAUGAUUACAUUACAUUAUAUAAAUCUUGCUAGUCGACUGCUUUAGAGCUUCUCCUUGCUGGUUCAAUGAAGUAAGCAACUAUGUUGAGAAAGUCCACAUGGCAAAGAACUCCUGGUGGCCUAUAAGACCUGAGGGCAGCCUCCAGCUGAAAACUGAUGGGCAGAAAAAAGUCAGGGCCUUCAGUCUCACAGCUACAAUGAAAUGAAUUCUGCAACAACCUGAUUGAGCUUGAAAUCAGAUGCUUUCUCAGCUAAGCCUCCAGAUGAAAAUGCAGCUCAGUUGAAACCCUGACUGCAGCCCUGCGAAAACGAGCAGAGAACCCAGCCAAGUUGUGACUGGAGAUUCCUGACUUAUGGACAAUAAGAGGAGAAAUCUGGACACAGGCAUGCACACAGGGAGAACACCAUGUGAAGAUGAAGACAGGGAUCAGGGUGAUGGAGAAGAAACUCGGGAACUUCAAAGAUUGCAGACAAACCACUAGCAGCUAGGAAAGAGGCCUGGACGGACCCUCCUUCACAGGCCUCCGAAGGAACCAACUCUGUCAACAACUUGAUCUGGGUUUUCUAGUCUCUAGAUCAUGAGACAACACUCUCUGUUGUGUAAGACACUUAGUUUGUGGUAUUUUGUCACAGCAGCCUUAGCUAACAAAGAUAAAUGGAUUAUUAACUUAGAAAAUAUAUUGUAAAUGUAAAGAACACAUAUCACUUUGUAGUGAUAAUAAUUUAAUAGAAUAAAAAUAAGUUUGUAUAAAUUCAUAAAUCAUAAAGCUAUAAUGAGCUGCAAAGGAAAACUGUAAUAUUAUUGUUCAUGCUUUCAGUCUUUGGUGAUUUCAGGGAGGAAAACCUGAAAGAAUGAAAAGAUUUCAUUUUGUUUUAUUUUAAAGGAAUAAACAUUGGCGAUUGCUUCGAUAAUUACAUAUUAAGCUAUAAUAAUUUUCUAGACUUAAUUUUUAGACUUUGCCAAGACUGUCUAAUAUCUUCUAGUAAAUUUUUAGUUAUACAAUGUUAGCAUAGUGGGAAGGGCAGAAGUAUUUUGGCCUCAUGUAGGAAUAAUAUACAUUUUUAUACCCUCCAGCCUUCAGCUAAAAAUGGUGCCCUGAUGGCGGGAGAGAGUUAAUUCACAUCCCAGAUGCUUAACUUACUCCCUGAGAGUAGAUUACUCAUUGGCAGGACACGGUAAUUCUUCAUUUUAACCAUUACUAUAGCAUUUUGUAUUGUCAAGUGCUAUGUGGUUUUGCAAUCCUUAAAAU